GAUCCUGGCUCAGGAUGAACGCUAGCUACAGGCUUAACACAUGCAAGUCGAGGGGCAGCAUGAUUGAAGCUUGCUUCAAUUGAUGGCGACCGGCGCACGGGUGAGUAACACGUAUCCAACCUUCCGUACACUCAGGGAUAGCCUUUCGAAAGAAAGAUUAAUACCUGAUGGUAUCUUAAGCACACAUGUAAUUAAGAUUAAAGAUUCAUCGCUGAUAGAUAGG
RNAcentral lists this ribosomal RNA (223 nucleotides) under uncultured bacterium. RNAcentral's name for it is "partial 16S ribosomal RNA". It matches the Rfam family "Bacterial small subunit ribosomal RNA", at positions 15 to 229 of the family's 1533-position model. The record is from RNAcentral.